This 88-nucleotide transfer RNA is filed under the name Methylophaga frappieri. Its description in RNAcentral is "Methylophaga sp. JAM7 tRNA". It matches the Rfam family "tRNA". From Rfam's summary of the family: Transfer RNA (tRNA) molecules are approximately 80 nucleotides in length. Their secondary structure includes four short double-helical elements and three loops (D, anti-codon, and T loops). Lineage: Bacteria; Pseudomonadati; Pseudomonadota; Gammaproteobacteria; Thiotrichales; Piscirickettsiaceae. The record is from Rfam by way of RNAcentral.
GGAGAAGUGGCCGAGUGGUUGAAGGCGCACGCCUGGAAAGUGUGUAUAGGUUAAUAGCCUAUCGAGGGUUCGAAUCCCUCCUUCUCCG